Long non-coding RNA from Balaenoptera acutorostrata (minke whale), 736 nucleotides. RefSeq lists it as uncharacterized. The transcript has 3 exons. The record is from RefSeq and is a predicted model, not a curated record. Lineage: Eukaryota; Metazoa; Chordata; Mammalia; Artiodactyla; Balaenopteridae.
CGCCUCACCCCUUCCGCUUUCAUGCGCCUCGAGCUGAAUCUUCAGUCCUCUGCACCUUCCUAAACGCUACAGAAGAUGAACAUAUCUGAGGGGACAUGGGUUCAAACCCUGGUCCGGGAAGAUCCCACAUGCCUUGGAGCAACUAAGCCAGUGAGCCACAACUACUGAGCCCGUGUGCCCUAGAGCCCACGUGCUGCAACUACUGAAGCCUGCGCGCUCUAGGGCCCAUGUGCCACAACCACUGAGCCCACAUGCUGUAACUACUGAAGCCCGCGUGCCUAGAGCCCGUGCUCCACAACAAGGGAAGCCACUGCAAUGAGAAGCCCCCGCCUGCCGCAACUAGAGAAAGCCCACAUGCAGCAACAAAGACCCAGCACAGCCAAAAGAAAAUAAAUUUAAAAAAAAAAAGUUCUCAUCACAAGAAAAAAAUUCUUGUGUAUGGUGAUGGAUGCUAACUAGAUCUGUUGUGGUGAUCAUUUUGCAAUAUAUGUAAAUAUUGAAUCAUUAUGUUGUAUACUUGAAACUAAUAUAAUGUUCUAUGUCAAUUGUACCUCAAUUUAAAAAAAGAAAAUUUCAAGUAUAUAUGUAAGUUGGAGAAGAGAAAUGGAGGAGUAUUUAGAGGUGGAUAUGGAGGUCAAAAGAGGUAUUAUGUAUUUAUUUUUUAAGAUGCAAAAAGUAUGGUACCAUUGUAUGCUGAUUGUAAUGAUUAAAUAAAAUUUUUAUUGUUUAUCCAUGA